CCACGACAGAUGUAAGAAACGUGUCCUCGCGCUUUCUGUCUGACUGUGGCAGCCCAGACUGAAUGCGGGAAUGCAGGG
RNAcentral lists this small nucleolar RNA (78 nucleotides) under Tursiops truncatus (common bottlenose dolphin). RNAcentral describes it as "Small nucleolar RNA SNORA31 (ENSTTRG00000024419.1)". Lineage: Eukaryota; Metazoa; Chordata; Mammalia; Artiodactyla; Delphinidae. The record is from RNAcentral.